CGCGUAGGCGGCUUGGCAAGUCAGAUGUGAAAUCCCCGAGCUUAACUUGGGAAUUGCCUCUGAUACUGCAGGACUUGAGACUAGGAGAGGGUGGUGGAAUUCCCAGUGUAGAGGUGAAAUUCGUAGAUAUUGGGAGGAACACCAGAGGCGAAGGCGGCCACCUGGACUAGAUCUGACGCUCAGGUGCGAAAGCGUGGGGAGCAAACA
RNAcentral lists this ribosomal RNA (207 nucleotides) under uncultured bacterium. RNAcentral's name for it is "partial 16S ribosomal RNA". It matches the Rfam family "Bacterial small subunit ribosomal RNA", at positions 568 to 774 of the family's 1533-position model. The record is from RNAcentral.